GACGAACGCUGGCGGCGUGCUUAACACAUGCAAGUCGAACGGUGAAGCGCCUUCCUUUUUGGUGGGUGUGGUUGCGUGGCGAACGGGUGAGUAACACGUGAGUAACCUGCCCCCUUCUUCUGCUUAACCGCAUUAAAGUGUGGCUAAUACGGGAUAUUCUGGGUCUUUCGCAUGAUGGGUCUGGGUCAGAUAUUGUUUCGGGGGGGGAUGGGCUUGCGGCCUAUCAGCGUGUUGGUGGGGUGAUGGCCUACCAAGGCGGUGACGGGUAGCCGGCCUGAGAGGGUGCACGGUCCUACGGGGACGGCGACACGGCCGAGACUCCUGCGGCAGCCAGCAGUGGGAAAUGUGGCACAAUGGGCGAAUACCGGACGCAGCGACGUCGCGUGAGGGAUGGAGGCCUUGGGGUUGAUGACCUCUUUCGCCAGGGAAGCAGGCCUGCCUGGUUUGUGGGUGGGUUGAAGGUAGCUGGAUAAGAAGCGCCGGCUAACUACGU
Molecule: ribosomal RNA, 493 nt
Filed under: uncultured bacterium
Lineage: Bacteria
Description: partial 16S ribosomal RNA
Rfam family: Bacterial small subunit ribosomal RNA
Source: RNAcentral